CAUAGGAUGUCGCUGUGUUGAUGAGGGCUGCUCCGCUAUAAAAGGGGAAGUGGCACUGUAGUAGGGAGUGCCAGUUUCCUGGUUGGAGUUGCCAGGACGUCGCUGGGCCACGUCAGCCUUGGUGCAAGGUGGUUUUUAGUAGCAUCAGGGCUGGGAUCUGAGUGGUGUAGAUCCUGGGAAAAGCAUGUUGACUGAGUAAUGGAAUUCAACGCUGCAGCUGUUGGGUACCGUUGCCUGCUGUCCUUUUAGGGUUUUUGUUUUAAAGUUAGUCCGCUCCUGGUCCAAUUGUUUGUGGUGGCGCUGAUUAUACGG
Melanotaenia boesemani (Boeseman's rainbowfish) is the source of this 312-nucleotide long non-coding RNA. RefSeq lists it as uncharacterized. The transcript has 3 exons. The record is from RefSeq and is a predicted model, not a curated record. Lineage: Eukaryota; Metazoa; Chordata; Actinopteri; Atheriniformes; Melanotaeniidae.